Molecule: ribosomal RNA, 480 nt
Filed under: uncultured bacterium
Lineage: Bacteria
Description: bacterial SSU rRNA
Rfam family: Bacterial small subunit ribosomal RNA
Source: RNAcentral
AGGCCUAACACAUGCAAGUCGAACGGUAACAGGAAACAGCUUGCUGUUUCGCUGACGAGUGGCGGACGGGUGAGUAAUGUCUGGGAAACUGCCUGAUGGAGGGGGAUAACUACUGGAAACGGUAGCUAAUACCGCAUAACGUCGCAAGACCAAAGAGGGGGACCCUCGGGCCUCUUGCCAUCGGAUGUGCCCAGAUGGGAUUAGCUUGUUGGUGGGGUAACGGCUCACCAAGGCGACGAUCCCUAGCUGGUCUGAGAGGAUGACCAGCCACACUGGAACUGAGACACGGUCCAGACUCCUACGGGAGGCAGCAGUGGGGAAUAUUGCACAAUGGGCGCAAGCCUGAUGCAGCCAUGCCGCGUGUAUGAAGAAGGCCUUCGGGUUGUAAAGUACUUUCACCGGGGGAGGAAGGGAGUAAAGUUAAUACCUUUGCUCAUUGACGUUACCCGCAGAAAAAGCACCGGCUAACUCCGUUGCCAA